This is a non-coding RNA of Petromyzon marinus (sea lamprey), 577 nucleotides long. Lineage: Eukaryota; Metazoa; Chordata; Hyperoartia; Petromyzontiformes; Petromyzontidae. The record is from RefSeq and is a predicted model, not a curated record.
CGUCACUGCGCUGUCGACGUCAUCACGUAACUCCUCCCCCACCCCUCCCCGCCACACUGACAGCGAUUUGGGUCCCAGCGGCGUGCGAGGUGAACGUGCAGUCGACUCAAAUAGUUACGGUCUGGGAGGCGUUCCACGGGCAGCGUCUGCUUCUUCUUACCGCAAUGAUUCAAGGGCAGUAUGCAGGUCCUCCGCCUGCAUACAGCCAACAGGGGUACCCGCAGGGACCCCAGCCAGGGUACCCGCAGGGACCCCAGCCAGGGUACCCGCAGGGACCCCAGCCAGGGUACCCGCAGGGACCUCAGCCGGGGUACCCACAGGGACCUCAACCGGGGUACCCACAGGACCCUGGCUAUGCUGGGCAAGGCUACGGAUACCCUCCACAGACGGUUGUAGUGAUGCAGGAGGCACCUCGAAGUGAAGAUUCCUGCCUCACCGGCUGUAUGGCUGCGCUGUGUUGCUGCUGCCUGUGGGACAUGCUCACCUAGUCACUCACCUAGUCACUCACCUAGUCACUCACCUAGUCACUCACACAGUCACUCACACAGUCACUCACCUAGUCACUCACACAGACACU